This 24-nucleotide non-coding RNA is filed under the name Cricetulus griseus (Chinese hamster). Lineage: Eukaryota; Metazoa; Chordata; Mammalia; Rodentia; Cricetidae. The record is from RNAcentral.
AGGACCUUGUGUGUAGUAAGUUGG